CUAAGAUCAAAGUGUAGUAUCUGUUCUUUUCAGCUUAAUAUCUGAAAGUUCCCUCAUUGAGGGACCAGUAUAUUAAACUGAUUUUUGUAAAACGAUGGGAUGUUCGGGGCUCGCUCCACUCCCGUCACGGGUCGGCCCGGCAUUGCAGUGCC
This 152-nucleotide small nuclear RNA is filed under the name Bombyx mori (domestic silkworm). It matches the Rfam family "U2 spliceosomal RNA", at positions 21 to 171 of the family's 192-position model. Rfam says of the family: U2 is a small nuclear RNA (snRNA) component of the spliceosome (involved in pre-mRNA splicing). Complementary binding between U2 snRNA (in an area lying towards the 5' end but 3' to hairpin I) and the branchpoint sequence (BPS) of the intron results the bulging out of an unpaired adenosine, on the BPS, which initiates a nucleophilic attack at the intronic 5' splice site, thus starting the first of two transesterification reactions that mediate splicing. The record is from RNAcentral. Lineage: Eukaryota; Metazoa; Arthropoda; Insecta; Lepidoptera; Bombycidae.